GUCACAUACACAAAAUAUACCGGCAACCCUUAAAGACAUAUUGUCCCUGUUUAGUCCAAGUGGCUAGGUUUGCCACACUGACCAUACAGGUAUGGUGUGAGCUUCUUUUGAGCCCAGACCAGGGCUAGACACUCUUUUUCCACUGCCGCGUAGCUCACUUCCCUGGGCAAUAGUUUUCUACUCAGGUACGCGACAGGGUGUUCCCCUCCAUCUUCCCCGACCUGGC
Pelobates cultripes (western spadefoot toad) is the source of this 226-nucleotide non-coding RNA. The record is from the annotation of a GenBank genome assembly. Lineage: Eukaryota; Metazoa; Chordata; Amphibia; Anura; Pelobatidae.